GAGGGAAAGGUGAAAAGCACCCCGACGAGGGGAGUGAAACAGUACCUGAAACCGAACGCCUACAAUCAGUCGGAGCUUGACUGGACUCUAAUGACAAUCUGCUCCAUUUAGUUAGUCAAACGAUUAACCUAGGAAGAGCAAAAUGUCGGAUUUAGCAUUCAUUACGGAUGGAGCAGCAGGUGUGUUGUUCCUUGUCGCUGGCCUUAUUGACGCCGGUGUCAACCAUUGUCCGAAUGAAGGAUGCCUCGCUAGGAAUGAUGUUCAGGCGUACAACAGCCUUUCCGUCGGAACGACAACGUUCCAAAAGAAAGAUGUUGGCGAAGAAAUCUAUUUUCGGCGAGACACGGGAGUUGCCAACGGUCCAUUUCAAUGGAUCUGGGGCGCCUCUGCUACGACGGAUGGAGAAUUAUGGGCGGGCCUAGGUCAGGCCGUGACAUUUUCCACCGCUAACGAUCGGUUUUACACACAACUUCAUGCAAUGGCUGGCCUGUACGAGCAGGGUAGCGGUGUGGAUUUGGGUGGGCCAAUCGAAUUCAGAUCCGGCAUCGAGUUUGGAUAUCAAAACAAAAUGGGCACACGCAUGGCUCUGAGUUUCGAUCACCGCUCGAAUGCAGGGAUUUACAGUUUGAACCCCGGUCUUGAGACCGUUCAGUUCAGAGUGUCGAUCCCAACCAAAUGAUUGUUAUCAGUGUCCAGUCUUGUGACGGCGUACCUUUUGUAUAAUGGGUCAUCGACUUGGUCUAUCUAGCAAGCUUAAGCCGUUAGGUGUAGGCGCAG
Molecule: ribosomal RNA, 777 nt
Filed under: Roseovarius aestuarii
Lineage: Bacteria; Pseudomonadati; Pseudomonadota; Alphaproteobacteria; Rhodobacterales; Roseobacteraceae
Description: partial 23S ribosomal RNA
Rfam family: Bacterial large subunit ribosomal RNA
Source: RNAcentral